RNAcentral lists this long non-coding RNA (822 nucleotides) under Equus caballus (horse). RNAcentral's name for it is "lncRNA (ENSECAG00000044837.1)". Lineage: Eukaryota; Metazoa; Chordata; Mammalia; Perissodactyla; Equidae. The record is from RNAcentral.
UAAAAACCAAUAUAGGUUCUGCCUGAUUUUCUUGAGAUGCUCACUCUUGGCACCCAGCCACCAUACUGUGAGGAAGCCCGGGCAACCCAUGUAGAUGCCCUGACUGACAGCUGUAGCUGAGAGCACAGCCAACAUCCAGCAUCAACCACCAGUCGUGAGUUCAUAACACAUCUCCCUGGUUGGAAGAUAAUCAAGCCACGUGAAAACACAAGUGACAAUGAAGGAAAAGGUGGCAAAAUGGUAUCUGUAUUAGGGCAUGAGAAAAACGAUAACCUGGACAUCUCCACUGACACAUCCCUGUCUCAGGUUUGGAACAGCUCCUGGGAUUCUCCUGCCUUCCUGGACCCAGUAACACAUCCUGCGUUUUUCAUCGUUGAUAGCAGCCAUCAUUCUACACUAUCCCUUGGGGUUUACGAAGUCUCCUUCUGCAUCAAGGAUCAGCACAGCCUCCUCUCAUCACUACUAUAGCCAAAUUGGCAUGGGAGACAGAACAACAAACAUGGGGCUGUUGCUGGGUUAGUCAAUGGGAGACCCUAAAGUUGACCCCGGGUGCCUUUGAUAUGAUUCUGUUAAUCUUUGACAGAAUCCUCCUUUUCUAGCACAAUCACGUGUCCCAGGAUCAUCUGGAAGGUUUUCUGCCUCAGGUGUGAAAUCAGCCAUUUCUCAAGGAGCCCCGCUCCCUUCGAGUGGGAAACGGCAUUUAGAAACUGCAAUUCAGGCAUGAAGCCAUUCACAGCUCCUAGACCUUUUCAGCAAACAGAGCUAGGACACAUAGACUUCUUUCUAGAAAGAAACAAAAUAAAUAACGUUACUGAUAUUUCC